GACCUCGUAGCUCAGUUGGCUAAAGCUUUGGUUUUACUAAAGCCUUCCCAUUGCUGGCGUGGGUUCGAAUCCUAUCAAGGCCG
This 83-nucleotide transfer RNA is filed under the name Schistocephalus solidus. It matches the Rfam family "tRNA". Rfam says of the family: Transfer RNA (tRNA) molecules are approximately 80 nucleotides in length. Their secondary structure includes four short double-helical elements and three loops (D, anti-codon, and T loops). Further hydrogen bonds mediate the characteristic L-shaped molecular structure. tRNAs have two regions of fundamental functional importance: the anti-codon, which is responsible for specific mRNA codon recognition, and the 3' end, to which the tRNAs corresponding amino acid is attached (by aminoacyl-tRNA synthetases). tRNAs cope with the degeneracy of the genetic code in two manners: having more than one tRNA (with a specific anti-codon) for a particular amino acid; and 'wobble' base-pairing, i.e. permitting non-standard base-pairing at the 3rd anti-codon position. The record is from Rfam by way of RNAcentral. Lineage: Eukaryota; Metazoa; Platyhelminthes; Cestoda; Diphyllobothriidea; Diphyllobothriidae.